GGUUAAGCGACUAAGCGUACACGGUGGAUGCCCUGGCAGUCAGAGGCGAUGAAGGACGUGCUAAUCUGCGAAAAGCGUCGGUAAGGUGAUAUGAACCGUUAUAACCGGCGAUGUCCGAAUGGGGAAACCCAGUGCAAUUCGUUGCACUAUCGUUAACUGAAUACAUAGGUUAACGAGGCGAACCGGGGGAACUGAAACAUCUAAGUACCCCGAGGAAAAGAAAUCAACCGAGAUUCCCCCAGUAGCGGCGAGCGAACGGGGAGCAGCCCAGAGUCUGAAUCAGCUUGUGUGUUAGUGGAACGGUCUGGAAAGUCCGACGGUACAGGGUGAUAGUCCCGUACACCAAAAUGCACAGGCUGUGAACUCGAAGAGUAGGGCGGGACACGUGGUAUCCUGUCUGAAUAUGGGGGGACCAUCCUCCAAGGCUAAAUACUCCUGACUGACCGAUAGUGAACCAGUACCGUGAGGGAAAGGCGAAAAGAACCCCGGCGAGGGGAGUGAAAAAGAACCUGAAACCGUGUACGUACAAGCAGUGGGAGCACCUUCGGGUGUGACUGCGUACCUUUUGUAUAAUGGGUCAGCGACUUAUAUUCUGUAGCAAGGUUAACCGUAUAGGGGAGCCGCAGGGAAACCGAGUCUUAACUGGGCGUUAAGUUGCAGGGUAUAGACCCGAAACCCGGUGAUCUAGCCAUGGGCAGGUUGAAGGUUGGGUAACACUAACUGGAGGACCGAACCGACUAAUGUUGAAAAAUUAGCGGAUGACUUGUGGCUGGGGGUGAAAGGCCAAUCAAACCGGGAGAUAGCUGGUUCUCCCCGAAAGCUAUUUAGGUAGCGCCUCGUGAACUCAUCUUCGGGGGUAGAGCACUGUUUCGGCUAGGGGGUCAUCCCGACUUACCAACCCGAUGCAAACUACGAAUACCGAAGAAUGUUAUCACGGGAGACACACGGCGGGUGCUAACGUCCGUCGUGAAGAGGGAAACAACCCAGACCGCCAGCUAAGGUCCCAAAGUCAUGGUUAAGUGGGAAACGAUGUGGGAAGGCACAGACAGCCAGGAUGUUGGCUUAGAAGCAGCCAUCAUUUAAAGAAAGCGUAAUAGCUCACUGGUCGAGUCGGCCUGCGCGGAAGAUGUAACGGGGCUAAACCAUGCACCGAAGCUGCGGCAGCGACACUAUGUGUUGUUGGGUAGGGGAGCGUUCUGUAAGCCUGCGAAGGUGACCUGUGAGGGUUGCUGGAGGUAUCAGAAGUGCGAAUGCUGACAUAAGUAACGAUAAAGCGGGUGAAAAGCCCGCUCGCCGGAAGACCAAGGGUUCCUGUCCAACGUUAAUCGGGGCAGGGUGAGUCGACCCCUAAGGCGAGGCCGAAAGGCGUAGUCGAUGGGAAACAGGUUAAUAUUCCUGUACUUGGUGUUACUGCGAAGGGGGGACGGAGAAGGCUAUGUUAGCCGGGCGACGGUUGUCCCGGUUUAAGCAUGUAGGCUGGUUGUCCAGGCAAAUCCGGAUAAUCAAGGCUGAGGUGUGAUGACGAGGUACUACGGUGCUGAAGUAACAAAUGCCCUGCUUCCAGGAAAAGCCUCUAAGCAUCAGGUAACAUCAAAUCGUACCCCAAACCGACACAGGUGGUCAGGUAGAGAAUACCAAGGCGCUUGAGAGAACUCGGGUGAAGGAACUAGGCAAAAUGGUGCCGUAACUUCGGGAGAAGGCACGCUGGUGUGUAGGUGAAGUCCCUGCGGAUGGAGCUGAGACCAGUCGAAGAUACCAGCUGGCUGCAACUGUUUAUUAAAAACACAGCACUGUGCAAACACGAAAGUGGACGUAUACGGUGUGACGCCUGCCCGGUGCCGGAAGGUUAAUUGAUGGGGUUAUCCGUAAGGAGAAGCUCUUGAUCGAAGCCCCGGUAAACGGCGGCCGUAACUAUAACGGUCCUAAGGUAGCGAAAUUCCUUGUCGGGUAAGUUCCGACCUGCACGAAUGGCGUAAUGAUGGCCAGGCUGUCUCCACCCGAGACUCAGUGAAAUUGAACUCGCUGUGAAGAUGCAGUGUACCCGCGGCAAGACGGAAAGACCCCGUGAACCUUUACUAUAGCUUGACACUGAACAUUGAGCCUUGAUGUGUAGGAUAGGUGGGAGGCUUUGAAGCGUGGACGCCAGUCUGCGUGGAGCCAACCUUGAAAUACCACCCUUUAAUGUUUGAUGUUCUAACGUUGGCCCCUGACCGGGGUUGCGGACAGUGUCUGGUGGGUAGUUUGACUGGGGCGGUCUCCUCCCAAAGCGUAACGGAGGAGCACGAAGGUUAGCUAAUCCUGGUCGGACAUCAGGAGGUUAGUGCAAUGGCAUAAGCUAGCUUGACUGCGAGCGUGACGGCGCGAGCAGGUGCGAAAGCAGGUCAUAGUGAUCCGGUGGUUCUGAAUGGAAGGGCCAUCGCUCAACGGAUAAAAGGUACUCCGGGGAUAACAGGCUGAUACCGCCCAAGAGUUCAUAUCGACGGCGGUGUUUGGCACCUCGAUGUCGGCUCAUCACAUCCUGGGGCUGAAGUAGGUCCCAAGGGUAUGGCUGUUCGCCAUUUAAAGUGGUACGCGAGCUGGGUUUAGAACGUCGUGAGACAGUUCGGUCCCUAUCUGCCGUGGGCGCUGGAGAAUUGAGGGGGGCUGCUCCUAGUACGAGAGGACCGGAGUGGACGCAUCACUGGUGUUCGGGUUGUCAUGCCAAUGGCACUGCCCGGUAGCUAAAUGCGGAAGAGAUAAGUGCUGAAAGCAUCUAAGCACGAAACUUGCCCCGAGAUGAGUUCUCCCUGAGACUUUAAGUCUCCUGAAGGAACGUUGAAGACGACGACGUUGAUAGGCCGGGUGUGUAAGCGCAGCGAUGCGUUGAGCUAACCGGUACUAAUGAACCGUGAGGCUUAACCUU
Molecule: ribosomal RNA, 2902 nt
Filed under: Klebsiella pneumoniae
Lineage: Bacteria; Pseudomonadati; Pseudomonadota; Gammaproteobacteria; Enterobacterales; Enterobacteriaceae
Description: 23S ribosomal RNA
Rfam family: Bacterial large subunit ribosomal RNA
Source: RNAcentral